RNAcentral lists this ribosomal RNA (253 nucleotides) under uncultured bacterium. RNAcentral's name for it is "partial 16S ribosomal RNA". It matches the Rfam family "Bacterial small subunit ribosomal RNA", at positions 524 to 776 of the family's 1533-position model. The record is from RNAcentral.
UACGUAGGGGGCUAGCGUUGUCCGGAAUCAUUGGGCGUAAAGCGCGUGUAGGCGGCCCGGUAAGUCCGAUGUGAAAGUCGGGGGCUCAACCCUCGAAAGCCGGUGGAUACUGUCGGGCUCGAGUACGGGAGAGGCGAGUGGAAUUCCUGGUGUAGCGGUGAAAUGCGCAGAUAUCAGGAGGAACACCGGUGGCGAAGGCGGGUCUCUGGGCCGAUACUGACGCUGAGGAGCGAAAGCGUGGGGAGCGAACAGG